This is a long non-coding RNA of Branchiostoma floridae (Florida lancelet), 2812 nucleotides long. RefSeq lists it as uncharacterized. Lineage: Eukaryota; Metazoa; Chordata; Leptocardii; Amphioxiformes; Branchiostomatidae. The record is from RefSeq and is a predicted model, not a curated record. The transcript has 3 exons.
UUAACCGGGGUGAAAGGUUGUGCAGUGUUGUCCUAACUGCGGACCUGCAUUUCCGUGUUCACCUGGCCUGUACCGUCUUCCCAGCUAGUGAUCCACUACGUUCCACUACAAUGCUACAGUCUGUCACCACUUGAAGAUAAUGUUUCUAAUGAAACUGAUACAAUAAAUUUCGUGACCGUGGCACAGCCACUGACUGGCUGGAUGCGGCAGUUUAUGCAGGCUCGUCAUGCGACGUAGUUCUCCGACGCCGCGGGACGCAGUACAAAGGACACAGUGGGCCGCUGACCUGAAUUAUUAACGAGAGUUAUGACAGUCGUAGAAUUGAUUGUCAACGCACCUUGUAUAUAUGGGUGACUGCACUUCUGUGGACUUGGCAGAAACAGCGCUACGAUGGAUAAAGGUCAGCGAUUGAAAAAACGGGCAGCGUAUGCUCAAAUAGUUCUGAUUGCUUUCGUCGUCGUCCUGUUACUACCGGGCGCAGCACUGGUUAUAACGGGAGCUUGGAUGAUUUUUCAAAUGUCUUGGGCGGAGGUUCUGACUCCUGGACGCAUUGCUAAAACCGAAGCCGUUCUAACCUGUGUUGGGGGUGCUUUGACAGUGAUUCUAGCUGCAAUAAUAGUACACGCACACUGGGAUCGCAAAUGGUUCAGGCAGGGAGUCACUUUGAGAGAGAUUGGAAUUCUUUUAGUCGUGAUUGUCAUGCUAGAAUUUGCAGUAGCCGCAACCUGCACAGCUCGUGAAAAUAUUACAAAGGGAGAACUGGGUAUUGAACUCAACAGAACUUUACAAGCCGUCAAACGUAAUGUUAACAGGGCUCCGAACACGGAGUGGACAUUGCUGCAAACCUCGCUGGAUUGCUGUGGGAUAUGGAACUUCACCGAUUGGGAUGAUGGAAAUGUUGGGAACAACUCAAAUACAAACAACUCCAUCCCAGAACCUUGCAGGUGCACGACCAAUGACAGGGACUGUUACAAAACACCAGAAGGCAAUCUCUGGACAACAAGACCUUGCCUGGGAGCGUACUUUGGAUUCUUACAGAAUCAGUUCAAUGUCGUCAGAAUAGUGAAUGCAGUAGCCAUCGUGGUGCAGGUAGGAUCUUUCCUGAUGUUUUUAUGUGAAGCGUUUCGGCUCCAUCAGGAGAGUAAGGUUGGCGUAUAUGUGGCAGACCCACCUGACAACCGACAAAGCGAUGAACGCACAGAACAAACUGUCGUCUGAACUGGAAUGAAAUCCAAGCAGAUGUUGGUCGCGAGUGCAGUUCCAAGAGAUUAUUUCUGUGACCGAAACAACAAGGAACCUGAAAGAAAACAAAGUCCUAGCAUGAAAGUUCAUCUGUGUUGGUAGAAGACAUUAUAGAAAUUUCUAAACUUUCUUUCCAACACUGAAUUGAUACAGGGACUUACCCUAACAAGGUCGACGGAGUUUGACCGAAAAUUUAGGGUAAGUCCCUGUAUUAAUUCAGUGUUGGAAAGAAAGUUUAGAAAUUUCUAUAAUGAAAACAAAGUCCGUUUUAUUUUGUGUACAUUGUUCCAGUGCCUAUGUUGGUGGCUGUUACUAACUGAAUUUUCAUAUGCUAGACAAAAAAAAAAAUCACAAGCAAGGAAUGGUCAUGUUGGUAAUCUCCAACAGAUCCCACAGGCAUAGAUAGUACAUGUAUCAUACGCUGGCAAGGGCGUGUAGCCGGGACAGGAGUGUUCAUUGGCCACCCAGGUUGGCUAAUGGGCACUCCUUAUGCCACCGACAAAUCUGCCCGGUUCCAUGGAAAUGGUGUCUUUUUAAGAUGAACUGAAACAUUUUCAUGUUGCAACGUUGAGCUUUAAUUUGUAUGCUUUUGAAAGCUAAGACAGCAUUUUAUGUUACGUUUUCAAAGGCCACAAUAUCAAAUCAAUAUGGCCUUAUUAUAAGGUACAUCAUGAAGUUGUCAUUCAUCAACUGGCAGGCUGCAAUGCCGCCACAUGUACAGCCUCAAUAUUGGUUGUUUUACCCAGGAACUCAGUCCUACAAGUUUGAUGUGUUCAUAAUUAGGUGACUGUUUUAUAUUCAUGUAUAAUGUUCCACCAGUGAAUCUACAAGCAUCUAAUUCUAACAUGUUUAACAAUAUCUAGUACAAUGUACAUGUACUAUGCAUGUGACUAUAAAAACUUCACUAGCUUCAAAAUAACACAGUAGUCCUGUCUUUAUUUUCACAUCUUCACUUUAAGACACAUUUUACACUCUGGAAUGCACAAUUAGUACUAAGAGCAGAGACAUGAUCAUCAUCUUUGUUAACUGAACCUCGGAUAAUACACAAGGUUGUAAAUCAUUGAAUCCAAUCAUUCUAAAAAAAAGGCAUUACUGGUAUGUACUCAUAGGGUACAAAUACCUCACAACAUGACAAAAAUCUUGGGAAAGUCAAAGACAUCACUAUUUAGUUUUAACAUGCACAACCGAACAGGGCUCAAAAUACUUGACUCUUGUUUCCAUUUUCAGCAAUAUUUGUUAUACAUACACAUAAAUACACUGUAUAUGUAAAUAUACAUAAUACAUUGUAGUAGUAUCUACUCUGUAUUCUUUUGGCUUGCCAACUUACAAGUAUCUUUAUUCAUUUUCUUAAAUCUCAGAUUUGUUCAUGAACAUUGCAUGUUAAUAUUUCAAGCCCUGCUCUUGCACUUUUCACAUGGAGGCUCUACUGGCAUGCCCAUUCAAGCAAUGCCCAACAGUCACAGUACUGACUCACAGAUUACUUUUCCACAUGUCACAAUGGUUCCUUCUCCCAACAAGACUUAAAAAUCAUCAGUAUUCAAGCUGGCAUCUUUUCACACACAAAAAAGAA